RNAcentral lists this ribosomal RNA (428 nucleotides) under Bacteroidota bacterium. Its description in RNAcentral is "Bacteroidetes bacterium partial 16S ribosomal RNA". It matches the Rfam family "Bacterial small subunit ribosomal RNA", at positions 355 to 776 of the family's 1533-position model. The record is from RNAcentral. Lineage: Bacteria; Pseudomonadati; Bacteroidota.
UAGGGAAUCUUCCGCAAUGGACGCAAGUCUGACGGAGCAACGCCGCGUGAGUGAAGAAGGAUUUCGGUUCGUAAAACUCUGUUGUUAGAGAAGAACAGCGCAUAGAGUAACUGUUAUGCGUGUGACGGUAUCUAACCAGAAAGCCACGGCUAACUACGUGCCAGCAGCCGCGGUAAUACGUAGGUGGCAAGCGUUGUCCGGAUUUAUUGGGCGUAAAGCGAGCGCAGGCGGUCAAUUAAGUCUGAUGUGAAAGCCCCCGGCUCAACCGGGGAGGGUCAUUGGAAACUGGUUGACUUGAGUGCAGAAGAGGAGAGUGGAAUUCCAUGUGUGCGGUGAAAUGCGUAGAUAUAUGGAGGAACACCAGUGGCGAAGGCGACUCUCUGGUCUGUAACUGACGCUGAGGCUCGAAAGCGUGGGUAGCAAACAGG